AUGGCGCCAUCCGCUGCCGCUGCAGCCAGCAGCACCGAGGCUGACGGGGCACAGCGCAUGGCCAAGUUCCUCUGCAGUUUCGGAGGCAGCAUCCUGCCCCGCCCCCUCGACGGCCGUCUCCGCUACGUCGGCGGCGACACCAGGAUCGUCAUGCUGCCCCGCGACAUAUCCUACUCCGACCUGGCGGCGCGGAUGCGGGAGCUCUAUGACGAUGCCGAUAUCAUCAAGUACCAGCAGCCUGAUGAGGAUCUUGAUGCACUGGUCUCGGUUGUUAAUGAUGAUGAUGUGGUGAACAUGAUGGAGGAGUAUGACAAGCUCAUUGCUGCGGGAGAGGGGUUCACUAGGCUCAGGGUCUUCUUAUUCUCGCAGCACCUGGAUGAUGAGGCUGCAUCAGCAGCUGUGCAUUACCAUGGGGAUGAGCGGGAGACGGAGAGGAGGUAUGUCGACGCGCUUAACAGCCUUGGUGACAUGAGAUCACCUUCAUCUCCUGUGUCAGUGGAGCAGCUUUUUGGUAUCGGAGGCAAUGAGUCAGGAAUUCCCGAUAUUGCUGGCCUGCGGCAUUUGAAUGUUCCUCGUGCCUCACAUAAUCAGCGGUAUGGGGAGAUGGAUUCUCCUUGGAGCCCUGCAUAUAUCUCUCCGGGGCAGUAUGGAGUGCCUGAUCCAAGGGAUUUUCCCAUUUCACCAUCAUCUGCAAGGUUUCAAGUUGGAGCAGAGGACUUUGAUGAGAGGAUUCCUGAUGAUUUUGUGAGGCAAUCGCCAAAAUAUCGGCAUUAUGAGGCUCAGUCACCGCCACAUGUGGAUAACUUGGUCUGGCUUCCACCUGGUGCUGUAAUUCAGCAAAAUGCUGGCUUCCCAGGGAAUUUGGGCCGCUCCGGCAAUUUCUUGGAUGGAAACAGUGUAUAUGACUCCCGUUCGUCAUUCCAGAAGGGUCAAGGUUCAGUGAGUGAUCCUCGUUAUAUGGAUCCCCGUUGGAGGCCAGUCCAACAACAUUUUGAUCAAUCAAGCAUGGCAAGUGAGUAUUCUGCUCACCCUGCUAUUCAGCGUCCAGAUUAUGGUCGUCCUGGUGAGCAUUAUGUUGUAGGCCAAGAUGUUAGACUGGAAAAUGGUGUUUAUGUGAAAGAGCAAACGGUGCAUCCCAACCAAAGCCAUCAACGGUAUGAGGAUCCAAGGUUGAAUCUGCCUGCUAAUGGUAGAGUGAUGGAUCCGUAUGCUGAUAGCAACUCAGCUAAUUCUGCAUUUGCACCCAGCAAAGUAUAUGAAAUGCAUUCAACAUCUCACAGCCGCUCAAGCCAUGAAAGUCCCCACUAUUAUCAUGGCAGUGGCCAGGGCGAGCAUGUGAGUAGUGGCUCCUAUGUCCAGACAUCAGGUUUUGAAGAAUCGACAGGCCAGCAUUACAGCCAUACUUCAACAUAUGGUGCUGAUACCUUUUACCAAAUGCAGCAGAACUUGCCGCCACUUCAAUCCAUGAGAAGGAGAGCAAGCAGCCCUGUUCACACAGGCUCAUCAUAUGAAUCACCGCACCUGCCGAUCCCAAAUGGGAGCAUCAACUCCAACUUUGUCAGAAACACAGGUGAUGUUAGUCCAAGGAUUCCUGGUAUGCCUGCAUAUGAUCGAGUCCCAAACCCAUGGCCUUCACCCAAUGGCAACAUACCAUAUAGAAUCGUUGGACAUGAUGUUCCCGCUGUUGUUGAGAACCCUUCUUCCCUUGGUUCUCGGUCAGGUCCAAACACUGCUCAGUAUGUUCAGCCUUUCUUUGCCCCAGAAUCAGUCCAGCAGCAACCAGGAGCUCCAUUGGUAGAAAUUUUUCCUGAAAGAGCAUCCGCUGGACCCAUGCUAUCACCGCUUGAUGGUAAAGUAUCUGUUGCUGCGGUACCCCUUGCUGAUCAUUUGUCCAGGUUGGACAUUAACACAACAAAGAAAUUGGAAGGAGCAGAUGAUGAAAGGCACACUCAAAAUGUGACUGAAACAAAACCUUCACACGCUGCGAGUGACCCUAGCACCUUGGUUCACAAUGUUGGAGUUGAUCUCCAACGGGGCAAACCUACAGAACAUGACGGUGGGGCUGUUGCAUUGCAGCAGUGUGGGGAUAUAUCGGAGAACAGAUUAAAUAUCCUUCCAGAGUUUGUUGCCUCUGUUAAAAAGGCUGCACUGGAAGAGUCUGAGAAGCCAGUAGAGGUUCAGCCAGAUGCUCGUCCUGCAAAUUCACCUGUUUGUGAUAACGGCAAUGAUGGGAAGAAGUUUGAUGAGAAUACUGAUGUAGAUCAGGACCCUGAUGUGCAUGGAAGCUGCGACCAGCACAAAAGUUCUGGGAUCGAAACUACACCCGCUGAAGCUGAAGCUUUGUCUAAAGGAUUACAGACUAUAAGAAAUGAUGAUCUGGAGGAAAUCAGAGAGCUUGGUUCGGGUACUUAUGGGUCAGUCUUUCAUGGUAAAUGGAGGGGUUGUGAUGUUGCCAUCAAAAGAAUAAAAGCUAGUUGCUUUGAUGGAAGGCCAUCUGAGAGAGAGCGCUUGAUAGCGGAUUUCUGGAAAGAAGCUCAGAUCCUGAGCUCGCUUCAUCAUCCAAAUGUAGUUUCAUUUUAUGGUGUUGUUCGUGAUGGCCCUGAUGGAAGCUUAGCGACUGUUACCGAGUUUAUGGUCAAUGGGUCUCUCAAACAAUUCCUGAGGAAGAAAGACAGGACAAUUGAUCGCCGCAAAAGGGUUAUAUUGGCUAUGGAUGCUGCAUUUGGCAUGGAAUAUUUGCAUGGGAAGAAUAUUGUCCAUUUCGAUCUCAAGUGUGAGAACCUACUGGUAAACAUGAGAGAUCCACAACGACCGAUCUGCAAGAUUGGUGAUCUUGGGCUAUCAAAGGUGAAGCAGCAUACUUUGGUGUCUGGUGGUGUUAGAGGAACCUUACCAUGGAUGGCACCUGAGCUUCUGAGUGGGAAAAGUGAUAUGGUGUCCGAGAAGAUUGAUGUCUACUCAUUUGGUAUUGUGAUGUGGGAGCUACUUACCGGGGACGACCCUUAUUCUGAUAUGCGUGCAGCUGAAAUUAUUGGGGGCAUCGUGAACAAUUCUCUUCGUCCUCAGAUCCCUUCCUGGUGCGAUCCUGAAUGGAAAUCAUUGAUGGAAGGUAGUUGGGCUGGUGAACCAGCUCAAAGGCCAUCCUUCACUGAAAUAUCUCAAAGGUUGCGGAAAAUGGCCGCGGCAAUGAAUGUUAAAUAA
RNAcentral lists this ribosomal RNA (3201 nucleotides) under Triticum aestivum (bread wheat). Its description in RNAcentral is "partial small subunit ribosomal RNA". The record is from RNAcentral. Lineage: Eukaryota; Viridiplantae; Streptophyta; Magnoliopsida; Poales; Poaceae.